AGCUCCAAUAGCGUAUAUUAAAGUUGUUGCAGUUAAAAAGCUCGUAGUUGGAUUUCUGGUGAGAUGGAUUAUGUCUCGUUCGAAUAGGACUUGUGCAUGGUUCGUUUUGCCCUUCUUGUCAGGAACCCGCUGAGAUUCGCGUCUUGUCGGUGGAAUGGCAUCGUUUACUGUGAAAAAAUUAGAGUGUUCAAAGCAGGCAUCGCCGUUGAAUACAUUAGCAUGGAAUAAUAAGAUAAGACUUUGGUGGUCUAUUUUGUUGGUUUGCACGCCAAAGUAAUGAUUAAUAGGGAUAGUUGGGGGUAUUCGUAUUCUAUUGCUAGAGGUGAAAUUCUUAAAUUUAUGGAAGACGAACUACUGCGAAAGCAUUUACCAAGGAUGUUUUCAUUAAUCAAGAACGAAA
Molecule: ribosomal RNA, 400 nt
Filed under: phytoplankton environmental sample
Lineage: Eukaryota
Description: partial small subunit ribosomal RNA
Rfam family: Eukaryotic small subunit ribosomal RNA
Source: RNAcentral